Molecule: ribosomal RNA, 253 nt
Filed under: uncultured bacterium
Lineage: Bacteria
Description: partial 16S ribosomal RNA
Rfam family: Bacterial small subunit ribosomal RNA
Source: RNAcentral
GACGUAGGGCGCGAGCGUUGUCCGGAUUUAUUGGGCGUAAAGAGCUCGUAGGCGGCUCGUUGCGUCAACCGUGAAAACCCGGGGCUUAACUUCGGGCUUGCGGUUGAUACGGGCGGGCUGGAGUUCGGUAGGGGAGACUGGAAUUCCUGGUGUAGCGGUGAAAUGCGCAGAUAUCAGGAGGAACACCGGUGGCGAAGGCUGGUCUCUGGGCCGAUACUGACGCUGAGGAGCGAAAGCGUGGGGAGCGAACAGG